CCUGCCCAAGAGAUCGGGAUAACACCUGGAAACAGAUGCUAAUACCGGAUAACAACAGAUGAUGCCUAUCAACUGUUUAAAAGAUGGUUCUGCUAUCACUCUUGGAUGGACCUGCGGUGCAUUAGCUAGUUGGUAGGGUAACGGCCUACCAAGGCGAUGAUGCAUAGCCUAGUUGAGAGACUGAUCGGCCACAUUGGGACUGAGACACGGCCCAAACUCCUACGGGAGGCAGCAGCU
Molecule: ribosomal RNA, 237 nt
Filed under: uncultured Lactobacillus sp.
Lineage: Bacteria; Bacillati; Bacillota; Bacilli; Lactobacillales; Lactobacillaceae
Description: partial 16S ribosomal RNA
Rfam family: Bacterial small subunit ribosomal RNA
Source: RNAcentral